AGAAGGGCGGCGUGCUAUACAUGCAAGUCGAACGAGUUCUGAUUAUUGAAAGGUGCUUGCAUCUUGAUUUAAUUUUGAACGAGUGGCGGACGGGUGAGUAACACGUGGGUAACCUGCCCUUAAGUGGGGGAUAACAUUUGGAAACAGAUGCUAAUACCGCAUAAAUCCAAGAACCGCAAGGUUCUUGGCUGAAAGAUGGCGUAAGCUAUCGCUUUUGGAUGGACCCGCGGCGUAUUAGCUAGUUGGUGAGGUAACGGCUCACCAAGGCAAUGAUACGUAGCCAAACUGAGAGGUUGAUCGGCCACAUUGGGACUGAGACACGGCCCAAACUCCUACGGGAGGCAGCAGUAGGGAAUCUUCCACAAUGGACGCAAGUCUGAUGGAGCAACGCCGCGUGAGUGAAGAAGGCUUUCGGGUCGUAAAACUCUGUUGUUGGAGAAGAAUGGUCGGCAGAGUAACUGUUGUCGGCGUGACGGUAUCCAACCAGAAAGCCACGGCUAACUACGUGCCAGCAGCCGCGGUAAUACGUAGGUGGCAAGCGUUAUCCGGAUUUAUUGGGCGUAAAGCGAGCGCAGGCGGUUUUUUAAGUCUGAUGUGAAAGCCCUCGGCUUAACCGAGGAAGUGCAUCGGAAACUGGGAAACUUGAGUGCAGAAGAGGACAGUGGAACUCCAUGUGUAGCGGUGAAAUGCGUAGAUGUAUGGAAGAACACCAGUGGCGAAGGCGGCUGUCUGGUCUGUAACUGACGCUGAGGCUCGAAAGCAUGGGUAGCGAACAGGAUUAGAUACCCUGGUAGUCCAUGCCGUAAACGAUGAAUGCUAGGUGUUGGAGGGUUUCCGCCCUUCAGUGCCGCAGCUAACGCAUUAAGCAUUCCGCCUGGGGAGUACGACCGCAAGGUUGAAACUCAGAGGAAUUGACGGGGGCCCGCACAAGCGGUGGAGCAUGUGGUUUAAUUCGAAGCAACGCGUAGAACCUUACCAGGUCUUGACAUCUUUUGAUCACCUGAGAGAUCACGUUUCCCCUUCAGGGGCAAAAUGACAAGUGGUGCAGGGUUGUCUUCACCUCUAGUCCUGAGAUAUUGGGUUAAAUCCCGCAAACAGGGGAACCCUUUUGACUAGUUGCCAGCAUUUAUUUGGGCACCUAGUAAGAAUGCCCCUGAAAAACGGGGGGAAGGGGUGGA
This 1178-nucleotide ribosomal RNA is filed under the name Lacticaseibacillus rhamnosus. Its description in RNAcentral is "bacterial SSU rRNA". It matches the Rfam family "Bacterial small subunit ribosomal RNA", at positions 31 to 1179 of the family's 1533-position model. Lineage: Bacteria; Bacillati; Bacillota; Bacilli; Lactobacillales; Lactobacillaceae. The record is from RNAcentral.